This 227-nucleotide long non-coding RNA is filed under the name Salvia miltiorrhiza (redroot sage). RNAcentral's name for it is "long non-coding RNA (SMIL_LNC009559)". Lineage: Eukaryota; Viridiplantae; Streptophyta; Magnoliopsida; Lamiales; Lamiaceae. The record is from RNAcentral.
AUUAAUUCUCUUCCGUUUUCAACUUUCCAGUGGUUAAAAGAUUGAAAUUCGCGUCGUAGUAUUUGGGUCCUCAUUGUCAAGUGUAUUUUCUUGCUUGGUCAUAAAAGUUUGCAUUUGAAGGAAUGGUGAAGUUUUAUGGCACUUAGUUUAUUGCUUGCUUCAGAAACAGGUACACAAACAGUUGGUGGAAGAAAACUCAAAAAGCUGAAGCCCCCCAUCAACCCCCC